CGGGAAUCUUCCGCAAUGGACGAAAGUCUGACGGAGCAACGCCGCGUGAGUGAUGAAGGCCUUCGGGUCGUAAAACUCUGUUGUUAGGGAAGAACAAGUACCGGAGUAACUGCCGGUACCUUGACGGUACCUAACCAGAAAGCCACGGCUAACUACGUGCCAGCAGCCGCGGUAAUACGUAGGUGGCAAGCGUUGUCCGGAAUUAUUGGGCGUAAAGCGCGCGCAGGCGGCCCUUUAAGUCUGAUGUGAAAGCCCACGGCUCAACCGUGGAGGGUCAUUGGAAACUGGGGGACUUGAGUGCAGAAGAGGAAAGCGGAAUUCCACGUGUAGCGGUGAAAUGCGUAGAGAUGUGGAGGAACACCAGUGGCGAAGGCGGCUUUCUGGUCUGUAACUGACGCUGAGGCGCGAAAGCGUGGGGAGCAAAC
Molecule: ribosomal RNA, 425 nt
Filed under: uncultured bacterium
Lineage: Bacteria
Description: bacterial SSU rRNA
Rfam family: Bacterial small subunit ribosomal RNA
Source: RNAcentral